This 38-nucleotide ribosomal RNA is filed under the name Meyerozyma guilliermondii. RNAcentral's name for it is "partial 28S ribosomal RNA". The record is from RNAcentral. Lineage: Eukaryota; Fungi; Ascomycota; Pichiomycetes; Serinales; Debaryomycetaceae. RNAcentral also lists the same sequence under 1 other name.
UUUUCCUCAAAUCAAGUAGGACUACCCGCUGAACUUAA